This 278-nucleotide signal recognition particle RNA is filed under the name Saimiri boliviensis boliviensis (Bolivian squirrel monkey). RNAcentral describes it as "Metazoan signal recognition particle RNA (ENSSBOG00000009364.1)". It matches the Rfam family "Metazoan signal recognition particle RNA". From Rfam's summary of the family: The signal recognition particle (SRP) is a universally conserved ribonucleoprotein. It is involved in the co-translational targeting of proteins to membranes. The record is from RNAcentral. Lineage: Eukaryota; Metazoa; Chordata; Mammalia; Primates; Cebidae.
GCCAGGUAUGAUGGCACGUGUCUGUAGUCCCAGCUAUUCAGGUGGCUGAGGUGAGGAGAAUCACUUAAGAGUUUCAGCCUGUAGUGCACGAUGCCAUUUGGGUGUCCACUUUAAGUUUGGUCUCAAUAUGGUGAUCUCCUAGGAGUGGGAGACCACCAGGCUUGCCUAAGGAGGAGUGAACUGGUUCCAGUCAGAACUCCUGUGCUGAUUGUAGUGGGAUUGCACCUGUGAAUAGCCACUGCCCUCCAGCCUGGGUAACAUAGCAAGAAACUGUCUCU